This 2148-nucleotide ribosomal RNA is filed under the name Triticum aestivum (bread wheat). RNAcentral's name for it is "partial small subunit ribosomal RNA". Lineage: Eukaryota; Viridiplantae; Streptophyta; Magnoliopsida; Poales; Poaceae. The record is from RNAcentral.
AUGGAUCUGCCUGCCCCACCAACCAGUGAUCCCAGAACUUUAUCCUCCAUUAUCCUAAGCCGCCGCCGUGCCGACGCGCGGGCGAGAAUAAACAAGUGCUCCGCGACCGCGAGCCAGCGACUCCUCUCGCCUCCACCACCGCUCCCUCGCCACCACUCGCUGCUCCGCCUGCGACCCGGCCGUGAGCGACCCGCCGUCGCGAGAUCCAGCGCCGUCUCCGCGCCGCCGCUGGUGCCGCCCAUGACGACGCCGGCGCCCAACCCGACCAUCCGGAGGCUCGACGUCGCCUCGCCGGUGCCCGCCGACAUCGACAUCGCCAACGCCGUCGAGCCGCUCCACAUCGCCGACAUCGCCGCCGAGCUCGGCGUGCCCCCGGAGCACUACGAUCUCUACGGCAAGUACAAGGCCAAGGUGCUCCUGUCCGUUCUUGACAAGCUGCAGGGGCAGCAGGACGGGUACUACGUGGUGGUCGGCGGCAUCACGCCGACGCCGCUCGGGGAGGGCAAGUCAACGACUACCGUCGGCCUGUGCCAGGCACUGGGGGCGUUCCUUGAUAAGAAGGUUGUCACUUGCGUCCGUCAACCAUCACAAGGGCCCACCUUUGGAAUCAAGGGGGGUGCUGCUGGAGGUGGCUACAGUCAAGUUAUACCCAUGGAUGAGUUCAAUCUCCAUAUGACUGGAGAUAUCCAUGCAAUUACAGCUGCAAACAAUCUUCUUGCUGCUGCCAUUGACACAAGGAUUUUCCAUGAAGCUUCUCAAUCAGACAAAGCUCUGUUCAAUAGAUUGUGUCCAGCAAACAAAGAAGGGAAGAGGCGCUUCGCUGAUGUAAUGCUCCGACGCCUGAUAAAGCUUGGCAUCUCAAAGACAGACCCUGAUGAGCUAACACCAGAAGAAGUUAGGCGUUUUGCAAGGCUUGAUAUUGACCCUGCAUCAAUUACUUGGAGACGGGUCAUGGAUGUUAAUGAUCGUUUCCUGAGGAAAAUCACCGUUGGACAAGGCCCUGAUGAAAAAGGUAUGGUGAGAGAAACAGGCUUUGACAUAUCUGUGGCAAGUGAGAUAAUGGCUGUAUUGGCUCUUACAACUUCCCUUGCUGACAUGAGGGAAAGACUUGGAAGAAUGGUGAUAGGCAACAGCAAGGCGGGUGAGCCGGUUACAGCUGAUGAUCUUGGUCUUGGAGGUGCCUUGACUGUCCUAAUGAAAGAUGCUAUUCAUCCCACCCUCAUGCAAACUCUUGAAGGCACUCCUGUUUUAGUGCAUGCUGGUCCUUUUGCUAACAUUGCACAUGGGAACUCUUCCAUAGUUGCUGAUAAGAUUGCUUUGAAGUUGGUUGGGAAGGGUGGCUUUGUUGUUACAGAAGCUGGUUUUGGUGCUGAUAUUGGGACUGAGAAAUUCAUGGACAUAAAGUGUAGGUAUAGUGGAUUGACACCACAGUGUGCUAUUAUUGUGGCCACAAUUAGGGCUCUUAAAAUGCAUGGAGGAGGCCCAGAUGUUGUGGCUGGGAAGCCUUUAGAUCACGCAUAUGUCAGUGAAAAUGUCACUCUUGUUGAAGCUGGAUGUGUUAAUCUUGCUAAGCACAUCUCAAACACAAAGGGUUAUGGAGUGAAUGUUGUAGUAGCAAUCAACAAAUUUGCAACAGACACAGACGCUGAAAUGGAAGUUGUGAAAAAGGCGGCUAUGGCAGCUGGGGCUUUCGAUGCUGUCGUCUGCUCCCACCAUGCACACGGUGGUAAAGGAGCGGUUGAUCUUGGAGUCGCUGUUCAAAGAGCAUGUGAAAGCCAGGCAGAGCCCCUGAAGUUUUUAUAUCCUUUAGAUUCUAGCAUAAAGGAGAAGAUUGAGUCAAUAGCUAAGUUCUAUGGUGCUAGUGGUGUUGAAUACUCUGAACAGAUCGAGAUGUACACCAAGCAAGGCUUCUCCAACCUCCCGAUAUGCAUGGCGAAGACUCAGUACUCCUUUUCUCAUGUUCCAUCCAUGAAGGGCGCACCAUCCGACUUUGUGCUGCCGAUAAGAGACGUGCGGGCCAGCAUCGGAGCCGGUUUCAUCUACCCGCUCGUCGGCACCAUGAGCACAAUGCCUGGUCUUCCUACGAGGCCCUGCUUCUACGAAAUUGACAUCGACACGGCGACCGGGAAAGUCAUGGGUCUGUCAUGA